AACGCACCUUGCGCUCCUCGGUAUUCCGAGGAGCAUGCCUGUUUGAGUGUCAUUAAAUUCUCAACCUUACCAACUUUGUUGUCUGGUAAAGGCUUGGAUGUGGGGGUUUUGCUGGCUUCGUCAAGAGGUCGGCUCUCCUUAAAUGUAUUAGCUGGUGCCCCGUGUGGAGCGUCCAUUGGUGUGAUACUUGUUUUGUUCACCUCGUCGCCGGCUUUGUCUCGCGGGCUUCUGUUCGGCGCUUCGAAACCCCAGAGUCGUCUUCGGACGGCCGCUUGACAAUCUGACCUCAAAUCAGGUAGGACUACCCGCUGAACUUAA
Molecule: ribosomal RNA, 318 nt
Filed under: uncultured fungus
Lineage: Eukaryota; Fungi
Description: eukaryotic LSU rRNA
Rfam family: 5.8S ribosomal RNA (bases 1-52)
Source: RNAcentral